Molecule: ribosomal RNA, 504 nt
Filed under: uncultured bacterium
Lineage: Bacteria
Description: bacterial SSU rRNA
Rfam family: Bacterial small subunit ribosomal RNA
Source: RNAcentral
AUUGAACGCUGGCGGCAUGCCUUACACAUGCAAGUCGAACGGCAGCACGGGUGCUUGCACCUGGUGGCGAGUGGCGAACGGGUGAGUAAUAUAUCGGAACGUACCUUAUUGUGGGGGAUAACGCAGCGAAAGCUGUGCUAAUACCGCAUAAUCCCUAAGGGGGAAAGCGGGGGACCGUAAGGCCUCGCGCAAUUAGAGCGGCCGAUACCUGAUUAGCUAGUUGGUGAGGUAAAGGCUCACCAAGGCAACGAUCAGUAGCUGGUCUGAGAGGACGAUCAGCCACACCGGGACUGAGAGACGGCCCAGACUCCUACGGGAGGCAGCAGUGGGGAAUUUUGGACAAUGGGGGCAACCCUGAUCCAGCAAUGCCGCGUGAGUGAAGAAGGCCUUCGGGUUGUAAAGCUCUUUUGUCAGGGAAGAAACAGCAGCUCUAACACAGUCUGCGAAUGACGGUACCUGUAGAAUAAGCACCGGCUAACUACGUGCCAGCCGCCGCAGUAAUAC